GUUGACAUCUUCAAAGAAUUCCUAUAGAUACUACAGCUAUCCAGUACACUGGAAAAAACCCAGAACCUCAUCUAGUUUUCAGAGGGGAAUUGAAGCAGGGUGCUUGCAGGACCAUGCCGGGCCACAAGGGAGCACCCUGGGACAGCACCUGUCUAUGCAACGUACAGCGAUCAAAUCCUCAAACACGGGGGCCCCCCGGAUUUGUGGCUUGGCAGCUCUCACUUCCCAAGGACUUCGUGGCUUGUCUGGAGACCCUGUGAGGGGUCUGAAUCCAUCCUGGAGGGCUCAGGUGGCCCAUUGAUUCCAAGCACCGAGUCCAUCCCGAGUGAAGUCCUCUCCAGAAGUCCUGAACCUGUAAAAUCAUUGUUGUGUUCGGGUGAACAAGUGUUAAACUUAUUGGUUCUCAGGAGGUUUCUGCUGCCAUUUGAAUCAAACUGCAAAUGAUGAUGCACUUAUGAAAAGAAAAAGUAAAUCAUCUGGUUGGACUGUGCAACCAGCCCCUAGAAAAAACUGACUUGAAAGAUCCUGUUCUUUCCAAAUGGGUCAUUAACUGGUUCUCUUGCCUGGUCCAGGAAUCCAUCCAGCUUCAUCAGUGCCGAGUAAUAGUUCGGUAGGGAGGGGACAGUGCUGUGUGUGGGACUGAAGGCUGCCGAAUGAGUCA
Molecule: long non-coding RNA, 661 nt
Organism: Mauremys reevesii (Reeves's turtle)
Lineage: Eukaryota; Metazoa; Chordata; Testudines; Geoemydidae
Exons: 8
Source: RefSeq, a predicted model, not a curated record